UACGUAGGGACCAAGCGUUGUUCGGAUUCACUGGGCGUAAAGGGUGCGCAGGCGGGUAAGUAAGUUAGAGGUGAAAUCUCACAGCUCAACUGUGAAACUGCCUUUGAUACUGCUUUUCUUGAGUUAGGGAGAGGUUGAUGGAAUUCCAGGUGUAGCGGUGAAAUGCGUAGAUAUCUGGAAGAACACCGGUGGCGAAGGCGGUCAACUGGCCCUAAACUGACGCUCAGGCACGAAAGCGUGGGGAUCAAACAGG
RNAcentral lists this ribosomal RNA (253 nucleotides) under uncultured bacterium. Its description in RNAcentral is "partial 16S ribosomal RNA". It matches the Rfam family "Bacterial small subunit ribosomal RNA", at positions 524 to 776 of the family's 1533-position model. The record is from RNAcentral.